This 1467-nucleotide long non-coding RNA is filed under the name Canis lupus familiaris (dog). RNAcentral's name for it is "lncRNA (ENSCAFG00040018534.1)". Lineage: Eukaryota; Metazoa; Chordata; Mammalia; Carnivora; Canidae. The record is from RNAcentral.
UUCCUCCUUAGCGUUUGUCUGGCUCAAAGCAGCAGCCUGCGCGAGACACCCCUGGGGGGGGAGGUACGAGUGAGGGCCCGUCCCGUCAACGGGUGGGGGGGGGGGAGGGUCCGUCCCGUCAGCGGGUGUGGGGGGGGAGGGUCCGUCCCGUCAGCGGGUGUGGGGGGGGAGGGUCCGUCCCGUCAGCGGGUGUGGGGGGGAGGGUCCGUCCCGUCAGCGGGUGUGGGGGGGCAGGGUCCGUCCCGUCAGCGGGUGUGGGGGGGGGAGGGUCCGUCCCGUCAGCGGGUGUGGGGGGGGAGGGUCCGUCCCGUCAGCGGGUGUGGGGGGGAGGGUCCGUCCCGUCAGCGGGUGUGGGGGGGCAGGGUCCGUCCCGUCAGCGGGUGUGGGGGGGGAGGGUCCGUCCCGUCAGCGGGUGUGGGGGGGGAGGGUCCGUCCCGUCAGCGGGUGUGUGUGGGGGGAAGGGUCCGUCCCGUCAGCGGGUGUGUGGGGGAAGGGUCCGUCCCGUCAGCGGGUGUGGGGGGGAGGGUCCGUCCCGUCAGCGGUGUGGGGGGGAGGGUCCGUCCCGUCAGCGGGUGUGGGGGGGAGGGUCCAUCCCGUCAGCGGGUGUGGGGGGGGGAAGGGUCCGUCCCGUUAGCGGCCGUGGCAGGGCCGCACGUCCGAAGCCAGCGGACUCCGCCUCAGCGUGGUCACCUGCGGCCGCGGCGAAGCUCCGUGGCGCCCCGCGUGGGGGCGGAGGCCGAGGAAGGGGCUGCGGGGCAGGCGCUGGCGGCGGCCCAGGCUCCCGCGGAGGCCGGGGAGGAGUGCACUGCGCGGCCCCCUGUGCGGCAGGCCUGCCUCCUGGACUGGAGCCCGCCGCCACCGCCGCUCCCCCGGCGGCGCAGCAGGGCGUCAAGGUCCGUCAGGGGCAGGCGGCGGCCUCGAGGCGUGGCUGCCCCGACGGGUCCUGCGGGCUCCUGGGCGCCUGACGUUCUCGUCGCCGUGGCGCCUCAGAACCCGAGCGCCUGUGGCUCGGCGCCGACCCGCCGCAUCUGCUCUCACCGUCGUGCGGCUUGCUCUGUGCGCAGCACCGGAUGCGCCCGGGCCUGGAGCCUCCCAGCAGGUCCGCCUCAGAGCCGCAGCCGGGGCUGCGUCCACGCCACAGGGCCUCAGGCCGGUGCCCACCUCGUCCUUGCUCUGCCGCCAGCUGUGCGCCUCGGGCCCUUUGCGGCUGCCGCCCCCUGGCAGCGCUGCUGGAGGCUCCUUCCUCGUCCUCGGUCUUUGCUCAGGCAACUCCCGCUCAGCGAGGCCCGUCCCGGCGCCGAGGGGCCUCGGGUCAUGGAGGAGGGCUUUGUGUUGCGGGCCGUGCCCGCUGUUACCGCCGCGGGAGGACUGCUGGACCGUGUGCGGGUGAGAGCGCUCCUGGCGGGCCGAGCGGCCUUUUCGGGAGCCUCCGUGUGUGAACGUGCGAUGGCAGCGGCACUCUGGUGA